This 23-nucleotide non-coding RNA is filed under the name Arabidopsis thaliana (thale cress). The record is from RNAcentral. Lineage: Eukaryota; Viridiplantae; Streptophyta; Magnoliopsida; Brassicales; Brassicaceae.
CUGUUCAGGUGAUGUUGACCCGA